Molecule: non-coding RNA, 1373 nt
Organism: Pelobates cultripes (western spadefoot toad)
Lineage: Eukaryota; Metazoa; Chordata; Amphibia; Anura; Pelobatidae
Source: the annotation of a GenBank genome assembly
CAUUUAAUGCGGGACGGCAUAGAACGCCGUAACGGCGUUAAGGGGUUAAUGUGCGUAUUGUUGUUGUUAUGUGGAUAUGUCUAGAUAAUAAGGAAGAAAUAGCUGGUACUGCUUUUAUUCUUUCUGCUUUUGGUACUAAGGAAACAAAAAUAAAGAUAUGUUAAAAAAGUUCAUAACAAUACAAUUUAAGAAAAAGACUGAACAAGUAUGGUUUGUUUAGAGGGUUUGCCAGUGGAAGUUAAAAAGAACAUGGCAGCACAACUUAGGUUUGCAAAGUUGCAUCUGAACAAACAACAAGAAUUCUGGACAAUGUCCUUUGGACAGACAAGACCAAAGUGGUGAUGUUUGGGAAUAAUGCACAGGCUCACGUUUGGCAAAAACCAACAGAAGCAUAUCAGCACAAACACCUUAUGCCAAAUGUAACGGGGAAAUCUUGCAGUCAUUGAGUCAACCAUGAACUCAACUGUAUACCAAAGUAUUUUAAAAUCAAAGGUGAGGUCAUCUGUCUGACCGCUAAAGCUUGGCCAAAAAUGGGUCAUGCAACAGGACAAUGAUCCCAAGCACACCAGCAAAUCUACAACAGAAUGGCUGAAAAAGUAAAGAAUCGAGGUGUUGCAAUGGCCCAGUCAAAGUCCGGAUCUCAACCUGAUUGUAAUGCUGUGGUGGAUCCUGAAGAGACCUGAGCAUAAACAAAUGUCCGCAAACCUCAAUGAACUGAAGCAAUGUGUAAUGAAGAGUGGGCCAAAAUUCCUCCAGAACGAUGUGAGAGACUGAUAAAGUCAUACAGAAAAUGAUAAUUUCAAGUUAAUUCUGCUACAGGUGGGUCUACAAGAUAUUGAAUUAUAAGGUGUACUUAGUUUUUCACACAUGGAUUCUCCAUUUUGGCUUUAUUUGAAAACUUGCUAAGGGACCGAUGUUAUGCCCUGAUAUGUAAAACCAUAGAAUUUAAAGUGGGCGUGUUUUCUUUUUCCCAUUACUCUAUAUGUGAUUUUAUACAAUGGUAUACAUUCUAGAUGGGUGACGAUUCCCCUUUUAUGGAUUAAAUGUUGCCCUUUGCCAUCAUUACAAUUUAGUCACUGGAUACAGAUCUAGAUAUAUUAAUAUGGAAUGCCCUUUUCAUUUUGCUUUUGGAGCACCAUUUAAUCCUCCAGUUCUUAUCCACAUGAGGGGUUUCAUAUUAGAAUGGAAUCCUUAUAGAACAGAUGACUAAGAUGACUAUGAGGUAUAGACAGUCGUCGUCCUUUUGGAGUUAAACAAAUACAAUUAUACAGCACAGAUAUUUUAUAUCUAAAUCUCUGCAUUUGAUUUGUACUCUAUUAAAGUUUUAUAUUGUCUACCUGUUUACUGUCUACCUACAGGCGAACCCUCCAAGC